Molecule: ribosomal RNA, 253 nt
Filed under: uncultured bacterium
Lineage: Bacteria
Description: partial 16S ribosomal RNA
Rfam family: Bacterial small subunit ribosomal RNA
Source: RNAcentral
UACGGAAGGGGCAAGCGUUGUUCGGAAUCAUUGGGCGUAAAGGGCGCGUAGGUGGUUCUGUAUGUCUACCGUGAAAGCAUACAGCUCAACUGUAUUUUGUCGGUAGAAACUGCAGGACUUGAGGCUGGGAGGGGCUGGUGGAAUUCCCUGUGUAGCGGUGAAAUGCGUAGAGAUGGGGGAGAACACUCGUGGCGAAGGCGGCCAGCUGGACCAGUUCUGACACUGAGGCGCGACAGCGUGGGGAGCAAACAGG